RNAcentral lists this ribosomal RNA (237 nucleotides) under Triticum aestivum (bread wheat). Its description in RNAcentral is "partial small subunit ribosomal RNA". The record is from RNAcentral. Lineage: Eukaryota; Viridiplantae; Streptophyta; Magnoliopsida; Poales; Poaceae.
AUGCAUGCUUUCCGGUCCCUUGUUAAAAAUUGUGGCUUAUUUGACAUUGGCUAUAGUGGCCCUGCUUAUACUUGGCGUGGUAGACAGAAUACUUCCAGGCCUAUUCAUGGACGCCUUGAUCAUUGUUUGGUUAACUCUGAUUGGUGCUCUCAUUUUCCCAAUACCAAAGUGUUGAAUCUUCACAUCAUUCUCAGUGAUCAUGCUCCUAUUUUAAUUUCUACUAAGAGUAAAUUGUGA